RNAcentral lists this ribosomal RNA (1362 nucleotides) under gut metagenome. Its description in RNAcentral is "bacterial SSU rRNA". It matches the Rfam family "Bacterial small subunit ribosomal RNA", at positions 9 to 1368 of the family's 1533-position model. The record is from RNAcentral.
GAGUUUGAUCCUGGCUCAGGAUGAACGCUAGCGGCAGGCUUAAUACAUGCAAGUCGAGGGGUAACAUGGAGUAGCAAUACUUUGAUGACGACCGGCGCACGGGUGCGUAACGCGUAUGCAACCUACCUACUAUUGUGGAAUAACCCGGAGAAAUUCGGACUAAUACCGCAUACAAUAUUCGGAUGGCAUCGUUUGAAUAUAAAAGAUUUAUCGAUAGUAGAUGGGCAUGCGUCCCAUUAGCUAGUUGGUGAGGCAACGGCUCACCAAGGCGACGAUGGGUAGGGGAUCUGAGAGGAUAAUCCCCCACAUUGGUACUGAGACACGGACCAAACUCCUACGGGAGGCAGCAGUAGGGAAUAUUGGGCAAUGGUCGAGAGACUGACCCAGCCAUGCCGCGUGCAGGAAGACGGCCUUAUGGGUUGUAAACUGCUUUUGUAUCAGAGUAAAGUCAGCCUCGUGCAGGUUGAGUGAAAGUAUGAUACGAAUAAGGAUCGGCUAACUCCGUGCCAGCAGCCGCGGUAAUACGGAGGAUCCGAGCGUUAUCCGGAUUUAUUGGGUUUAAAGGGUGCGCAGGCGGAUGAGUAAGUCAGUGGUGAAAUUUCUGGGCUCAACUGAGAGACUGCCAUUGAUACUGCUUGUCUAGAUUAUAGAUGGCGUAGGCGGAAUAUGUCAAGUAGCGGUGAAAUGCGUAGAUAUGACAUAGAACACCGAUCGGGAAGCCGGCUUACGAAGCUAUGAAUGACGCUCAUGCACGAAAGCGUGGGGAUCAAACAGGAUUAGAUACCCUGGUAGUCCACGCAGUAAACGAUGAACACUCGUUGCCGGCGAUAGAUGGUCGGUGGCCAAGCGAAAGUGAUAAGUGUUCCACCUGGGGAGUACGUUCGCAAGUAUGAAACUCAAAGGAAUUGACGGGGGCCCGCACAAGCGGAGGAGCAUGUGGUUUAAUUCGAUGAUACGCGAGGAACCUUACCCGGACUUGAACGCAGGGGGAAUAUGUAUGAAAGUACAUAGCCAGCAAUGGCCGCCUGCGAGGUGCUGCAUGGUUGUCGUCAGCUCGUGCCGUGAGGUGUUAGGUUAAGUCCUGCAACGAGCGCAACCCUUACCCUUAGUUACCAGCGUGCAAGACGGGGACUCUGAGGGAACUGCCCGCGCAAGCGUGGAGGAAGGUGGGGAUGACGUCAAAUCAGCACGGCCCUUACGUCCGGGGCGACACACGUGCUACAAUGGCCGGUACAGAGGGCAGCUACACUGCGAAGUGAUGCGAAUCUCGAAAGCCGGUCUCAGUUCGGAUCGGAGUCUGCAACUCGACUCCGUGAAGUUGGAUUCGCUAGUAAUCGCGCAUCAGCCAUGGCGCGGUGAAUA